AUGCGUAGAUAUCAGGAGGAACAUCGGUGGCGUAAGCGCUUUACUGGGCCGACAUUGACACUGAGGAACGAAAGCCGGGGUAGCAAAUGGGAUUAGAUACCCCAGUAGUCCCGGCCGUAAACGAUGGAUACUAGGUGUUGCGGGUAUCGACCCCUGCAGUGCCGGAGCUAACGCGUUAAGUAUCCCGCCUGGGGAGUACGCACGCAAGUGUGAAACUCAAAGGAAUUGACGGGGACCCGCACAAGCGGUGGAACAUGUGGUUUAAUUCGAAGCAACGCGAAGAACCUUACCAGGGCUUGACAUCUAACAAAUCUUUGAGAAAUCAGAGAGUGCUCUUCGGAGAAUGUUAAGACAGGUGGUGCACGGUUGUCGUCAGCUCGUGUCGUGAGAUGUUGGGUUAAGUCCCGCAACGAGCGCAACCCUCGUCGUUAGUUGGAUAUAUCGGUAUACUGGUAUAUUCCUCUCUAGCGAGACUGCCGGUGAUAAACCGGAGGAAGGUGGGGACGACGUCAAAUCAUCAUGCCCCUUAUGCUCUGGGCUACACACGUGUUACAAUGGCUGGUACAACGAGCAGCCAACUCGCGAGAGUGAGCAAAUCUCUAAAAACCAGUCUCAGUUCGGAUUGCACUCUGCAACUCGAGUGCAUGAAGUCGGAAUCGCUAGUAAACGCAGAUCAGCACGCUGCGUUGAAUACGUUCCCGGGCCUUGUACACACCGCCCGUCACACCAUGGAAGUCGACCACGCCCGAAGUACGUGAGCUAACCUUUUGGAAGCAGCGUCCUAAGGCAGGGUUGGUGACUGGGGUGAAGUCGUAACAAGGUAGCCGUACCGGAAGGUGUGGCUG
Molecule: ribosomal RNA, 845 nt
Filed under: human gut metagenome
Description: bacterial SSU rRNA
Rfam family: Bacterial small subunit ribosomal RNA
Source: RNAcentral